UAAAAACUAGAAUGAAAGGUUAUACAUUCAAAUUUCUUUAUUAAUUUUUUAAUAAAUAAUUUAUAUUAAAUAUAAAAAUAUAUUUACAAAAAAAAAAGACGAUAAGACCCUAUUAAAUUUUACUUAUAGUUUAGCUGGGGAAGCUUUUCAAUUAAAAUUUUUUAAAAAAAUUAAAUAAAUAUCUAAUAAAAUUAAAAUUUUAAUAAAUUACUAUAGGGAUAACAGCAUUAUAUUUUUUAAAAGUUCAUAUUAAAAAAAAAUGAUUGUGACCUCGAUGUUGAAUUAUAUUUUCUAUAUUUAAUGCAAUAAUUAUAUAAGUAGAUCUGUUCGAUCUUUAAAAUAUUACAUGAUUUGAGUUCAAACCGGUGUAAACCAGGUUGGUUUCUAUCUUUUUAUAUAUUUUUCUAGUACGAAAGGACAAAAAAAUUUUUAUUUUAAUAAAUUAGCAAAUAAAUGCAUUAGAUUUAGAAUCUAAAUAUAUAUAUAAUUUUUUUUAUUAAUCCUUUAUUAUCUAUUAUUAUACUUUUAAUUUCAGUAGCAUUUUAUACAAUUUUAGAACGAAAAAUCUUAAGAUAUAUUCAAAUUCGAAAAGGACCAAAUAAAGUAGGAUUUUUAGGUAUUUUACAACCUUUUAGUGAUGCUAUUAAAUUAUUUAAUAAAAAUUUAAUUUCAUCUGAAAGAAUAAAUUUUAUAUUAUCAUAUUCAACACCAGCAUUAUCUUUAAUUUUAAGAAUAAUAAUUGUAUCUAUAUUACCAAUAUAUUUUUAUUCUUCAUUUGAUAAUAAAAAUAAUUUUU
This 796-nucleotide ribosomal RNA is filed under the name Anelosimus jucundus. RNAcentral describes it as "partial 16S ribosomal RNA". The record is from RNAcentral. Lineage: Eukaryota; Metazoa; Arthropoda; Arachnida; Araneae; Theridiidae.